This 305-nucleotide ribosomal RNA is filed under the name uncultured bacterium. RNAcentral describes it as "bacterial SSU rRNA". It matches the Rfam family "Bacterial small subunit ribosomal RNA", at positions 335 to 637 of the family's 1533-position model. The record is from RNAcentral.
GGCCCUACGGGGGGCAGCAGUGAGGAAUAUUGGUCAAUGGGCGGAAGCCUGAACCAGCCAAGUCGCGUGAGGGAUUAAGGCCCUAUGGGUCGUAAACCUCUUUUGUCAGGGAGCGAUGGCGUCCACGUGUGGGCGUAUGGAGAGUACCUGAAGAAAAAGCAUCGGCUAACUCCGUGCCAGCAGCCGCGGUAAUACGGAGGAUGCGAGCGUUAUCCGGAUUUAUUGGGUUUAAAGGGUGCGUAGGCGGUCCGUUAAGUCAGCGGUAAAAUUGCGGGGCUCAACCCUGUCGAGCCGUUGAAACUGGC